This 745-nucleotide ribosomal RNA is filed under the name uncultured Lachnospiraceae bacterium. Its description in RNAcentral is "bacterial SSU rRNA". It matches the Rfam family "Bacterial small subunit ribosomal RNA", at positions 28 to 770 of the family's 1533-position model. The record is from RNAcentral. Lineage: Bacteria; Bacillati; Bacillota; Clostridia; Lachnospirales; Lachnospiraceae.
GACGAACGCUGGCGGCGCGCCUAACACAUGCAAGUCGAACGGAGCUGUUUUCUCUGAAGUUUUCGGAUGGAAGAGAGUUCAGCUUAGUGGCGAACGGGUGAGUAACACGUGAGCAACCUGCCUUUCAGUGGGGGACAACAUUUGGAAACGAAUGCUAAUACCGCAUAAGACCACAGUGUCGCAUGGCACAGGGGUCAAAGGAUUUAUCCGCUGAAAGAUGGGCUCGCGUCCGAUUAGCUAGAUGGUGAGGUAACGGCCCACCAUGGCAACGAUCGGUAGCCAGACUGAGAGGUUGAACGGCCACAUUGGGACUGAGACACGGCCCAGACUCCUACGGGAGGCAGCAGUGGGGAAUAUUGCACAAUGGGGGAAACCCUGAUGCAGCGACGCCGCGUGGAGGAAGAAGGUCUUCGGAUUGUAAACUCCUGUCCCAGGGGACGAUAAUGACGGUACCCUGGGAGGAAGCACCGGCUAACUACGUGCCAGCAGCCGCGGUAAAACGUAGGGUGCAAGCGUUGUCCGGAAUUACUGGGUGUAAAGGGAGCGCAGGCGGAUUGGCAAGUUGGGAGUGAAAUCUAUGGGCUCAACCCAUAAAUUGCUUUCAAAACUGUCAGUCUUGAGUGGUGUAGAGGUAGGCGGAAUUCCCGGUGUAGCGGUGGAAUGCGUAGAUAUCGGGAGGAACACCAGUGGCGAAGGCGGCCUACUGGGCACUAACUGACGCUGAGGCUCGAAAGCAUGGGUAGCA